UGAGCAGGCUCAUUGUCUCGCAUUGGGUUGUCCACUGCGAGACAAUGAGCCUGCUCAAU
Molecule: non-coding RNA, 59 nt
Filed under: Spodoptera frugiperda (fall armyworm)
Lineage: Eukaryota; Metazoa; Arthropoda; Insecta; Lepidoptera; Noctuidae
Source: RNAcentral